UGAGGUAGUAGGUUGUAUAGUUUUAGGGUCAUACCCGCAACUGGGAGAUAACUAUACAAUCUACUGUCUUUC
RNAcentral lists this microRNA precursor (72 nucleotides) under Columba livia (rock pigeon). RNAcentral's name for it is "Cli-Let-7-P2a1_pre stem-loop". It matches the Rfam family "let-7 microRNA precursor family", at positions 7 to 78 of the family's 84-position model. From Rfam's summary of the family: This family represents the microRNAs (miRNA) let-7 and mir-98. let-7 was identified from a study of developmental timing in C. elegans, and was later shown to be part of a much larger class of non-coding RNAs termed miRNAs. The record is from RNAcentral. Lineage: Eukaryota; Metazoa; Chordata; Aves; Columbiformes; Columbidae. RNAcentral also lists the same sequence under 1 other name.